UUUUCCCAUCCUGGUGUCCAACAAAGUUGGUGGUGAAUGAUGAGCAUAAGGAGUUCCCGCUGCCCCAAGACCCAAAGAAGUAUAAUUUUGAAAAUGGGUCAGGCAUGAGCUACGAGGCCAUUCACGUCCGCGAGUGCCUGCGCAAAGGYCUCAAGGAAAGUCCCAUCAUUCCUCUGGCAGAAAGUGAGCUUCUGGCUGAGAUCCUCCAGGAGGUGAGGAAGAUCAUUGGAGUCACCUUCUCCCAAGACGAACGCUGAUGCCUGGCCUGAAUAAAUAAAUAGUUUCCGUGGAGA
Molecule: non-coding RNA, 293 nt
Organism: Urocitellus parryii (Arctic ground squirrel)
Lineage: Eukaryota; Metazoa; Chordata; Mammalia; Rodentia; Sciuridae
Source: RefSeq, a predicted model, not a curated record